AACUUAAAUAAAUAAUUCCAAGUGGUUGGUAUUUGGUUAUUAAGACUCCUUCAUGAUUUCAGUGAUGAACCAACCUAGUCAAAAUAUACCAACUCCAAAUAUCAACACUACUGAAGCUGGUGCAGCAACAACAACUAUAGUUGUUGGACCUGAAUUGGCUAAAAGUUAAAAAGAAGAGAAGAGCUAAUGCAAGUGGUCCUAGAAAUCCUCUAAAUGUUGGAAACACUUUAAAAAAAUUAUUUCUAGUGAAGUGGAUGUCCCAUCUGCCACAUGUAAAUACUGCCACAAAAUAUACUUGUGUGACUCUCGAACUCAUGCCACCUCUAACCCAACUACCACCUUACUAGAUGUGCCAAAAAACCUUUGGUUGUAUCUGAUGACCCCACCCAAACUAUUCUUGCAUUUCCUAAUGUAGAAGGAUCUGGUUUGGUUUCAACAAGUAGUAAAUUUAACCUUCAAGCUUGUCGUAGGGCAUUGUCUAUUUAUGUGAUUUUGGAUGAACAACCAUUCAAAGCUGUGGAAGGUGAGAGAUUUAAAUAUAUGUUGAGAACAUUGCUGCCAAGUUUACAAUACCGUCUAGACGAACUGUAGCUAGGGAUAGUUUUCAGUUGUUUAUGGAGGAAAAAGUAAGGUUGAAAGCUUUUUUUAAGUUUGAUUACAAUACGGUAGCUCUUACAACAGAUUGUUUGACUUCAAUCCAAAACCUUAACUACUUGACCCUUACGGCACACUUUGUUGAUAAUGAUUGGAGUUAUCAAAAAAGGAUUAUUAGUUUCACAGUAAUCCCAAAUCAUAGGGGUGACAAAAUUGGUAAGAAGAUUGAAGAGGUUUUAAAGGAUUGAGGGAUUCAGAAUGUGUCAACUAUAACCGUUGGUAAUGCAUCAUCCAAUGAUGUAGCUGUUGCUUAUGGAUGGUUUGAUGGGGGAUAGGGAACACUUCCACAUGAGGUGUGUUGCUCAUAUUCUGAAUUUAGUUGUAACUGAUGGCUUGAAAGAAUUUUUUUUUUUUUUGCAAUCUCUAGCAUUAGAAAUGCUGUUAGAUUUGUAAAAUCUUCACCUCAUAGGGCUGUCAAGUUUAGGGAAUGUGUUCAAUUAGUUGGAAUAUCUUGUAAAAAAUUGCUAUCUCUUGAUGUUUCAACUCGUUGGAAUUCAACCUACUUGAGGCUGCGGAGAAAUUUCAAGUAGCUUUUGGGAAGCUUGAGGAGUCAAGUUAUAAGGAUUUCUUUGGAGAAGCUGGUCCCCCAACUAGUUCUGAUUGUGAUACAACUAGGGCGUUUGCAACUUUUUUGAAGUUAUUUUAUGAGGCAACUAAGGUGUUUUGCUCCUCACAACAUGAUAGUAUACAUGCAACUUUUCACCAAUUGUCCGCAAUCUAUUGUGAGCUGCAAAAUGCCUCCUUGAAUUUGAACACCAUUUUUGCAAGUGUGGCUGAGGAUAUGUUAGCAAAAUAUGAUAAGUAUUGGGGUAGUAUUACAAAAUUAAUAAGUUGCUAUAUUUUGGGGUAAUUUUCGAUCCACGAUAUAAGUUGAAAUAUGUUGAGUUGUGCUUGCAAGAUAUGUAUGCAACUAAAUCAGAGGUGGCUAUUGAAUUGAUCACAUUAAUUAAAGAAGAUCUAAGUAAAAUGUACAAAUGGUAUAAAAAAGUCCAUGACAAAAAACAUAAUUCACCACAACCAACUCCCAUGGCUGUUGACAGUGCCUCCCAUUAUGAAACCUUUGCUGCUGCUGUCCAUAAUUCACAUAUGGCCAGAGCACAAGCUUUUGAAGACCAUUUGAAAGAGAAAGACUCCAUUGACCAACAAAAUGAGCUUGAGGGGUAUUAUUCUAGUAAGUGUGUGAAGAUGAGUGAAAAGUUUGAUAUUCUUGCUUGGUGGAAAUGUAAUGCAACUUAGUACCCAAUCUUAUCUCUUAUUUCCAAAGAUAUUUUGGCCAUAUCGGUGUCUACAGUUGCUUCUGAAAGUGCUUUUAGUACUGGUGGGAGAGUCAUUGAGACCUUUAUAAGCUCUCUAAAGCCAAAAAUGGCUGAAGCAUUAAUUUGCACUCAGAAUUGGAUAAAACCUUCACUCACUUGUUUCAAAGACUUAAAUCUUAGUAAAGAUGUUGAUCUUUCUGAAGAAAUUAUUAAAGAGUUUCAAGGAAUGUCAGUGGGAAAUGCAACUACUACAGGUGACUCAUCAUCACAGCCACCUAGUUGUGGUUGAAUAAAAUUAUUAUUUAGACUUUCUUGAAUUUUUUGAAGUCACACAAACUUAAGUCAAAUAUUGACUUGGCUCUAUGACAAUAUCAACACAAAUUUUUUGGGAUUUGUAUAAUCUGUUGUUCUUCCUGCUGGUGCAUGAUAUUCCGAGACUGAUUUUGCUGCAAGUCAUAGAAAAACAAAUGUUUUAUCAUAUGUUGCUGGAGUUCUUGCAGAUUGCUUGGUGUUAAAUCUUUAUUUAACAUUAGCUAAGUUAGUAGCAGUAAUUUAUAUUAUUUUGAACAACAUAUAUGGGUUGCUAUACAUGAAACUAAGCUAAAGAAAAUUUGGCAUUAUCAAGUCUGGAAUUUUUUAAUGUUGAUUGCAAAUAAGGUUGGCAAUGGGAACAAAUUGGAAACAUAUAUUGAUAUUUGUAUUGUCAUUGAGUCAAUGGAAACUAUCAAUUUUAAGAAGUGUGUAUUAACAUUAGACUUUAUGUAUAAUUUGAAUUUAAAAGUGUGUAUUAAUAUUAGACUUCAUCUAUAACUUGAAUUUGGCUGAGUUGUUGUUGAAAAACUAAGCUGUUAUAAUUAAUCUGUUUGACUUGAUAAACAAGGAUUAUGUAAACUUUUAGUUGUAAUCUGUUGGACUUGAAAAACAAGGAUUGCGUAAAACUUUUAGUUGUAAGCUGUUGUAUUUGUAU
Cicer arietinum (chickpea) is the source of this 2877-nucleotide non-coding RNA. The record is from RefSeq and is a predicted model, not a curated record. Lineage: Eukaryota; Viridiplantae; Streptophyta; Magnoliopsida; Fabales; Fabaceae.